Molecule: ribosomal RNA, 808 nt
Filed under: uncultured bacterium
Lineage: Bacteria
Description: bacterial SSU rRNA
Rfam family: Bacterial small subunit ribosomal RNA
Source: RNAcentral
UCGCCUCGGGAGGGGCUCACGUGGUAUUAGCUUGUUGGUGGGGUGACGGCCCACCAAGGCCAAGAUGCCUAGCGGGUGUGAGAGCACGACCCGCGCCACUGGCACUGAGACACUGGCCAGACUCCUACGGGAGGCUGCAGUCGAGGAUCUUCUUUUUUUGGCGCAAGCCUGACCGAGCGACGCCGCGUGCGCGAUGAAGGCCUUCGGGUUGUAAAGCGCUGUCGAGAGGAAGGAAAGCCCUGAAAGGGGCCUGACCUAUCCCUGGAGGAAGCACGGGCUAAGUUCGUGCCAGCAGCCGCGGUAAGACGAACCGUGCGAACGUUGUUCGGAUUCACUGGGCUUAAAGGGCGCGUAGGCGGGCAGCCAAGUCGGGGGUGAAAUCUUUCGGCCCAACCGGAAAAGUGCCCCCGAUACUGGUUGCCUCGAGGGGGGUAGGGGCAUGCGGAACUUCCGGUGGAGCGGUGAAAUGCGUAGAUAUCGGAAGGAACGCCGGUGGCGAAAGCGGCGUGCUGGACCCCUUCUGACGCUGAGGCGCGAAAGCCAGGGGAGCAAACGGGAUUAGAUACCCCGGUAGUCCUGGCCCUAAACGAUGGGUACUAGGUAGUGGGCUUGACAUGGGCUCACUGCCGGAGCAAAAGUGUUAAGUACCCCGCCUGGGGAGUAUGGUCGCAAGGCUGAAACUCAAAGGAAUUGACGGGGGCUCACACAAGCGGUGGAGCAUGUGGCUUAAUUCGAGGCUACGCGAAGAACCUUAUCCUGGGCUUGACAUGUGCGAAAGCGCGAGGAAGUAAGGGGCCGGAAACGGUAC